CNCUCUCUGGCACAACCCCCGAGAACUCUUCUCCCGGCGGUGUCGAAUUAGAUCGGCGCCGCUGGGCCACUGAUUUGCCAUCGUCGUUCUCUUCUCUGCUCCCAAACCCUGCUCUGGUCUGCUCUCGAAUCCACCAGAGGUUCAUCGGUCUGUCAAGCUACUCCGGCCAUGCGUCAGCUUCAAUCCCUCUUCUCCUCCUCAGCUCAUCCGGUGGUUCGUCUUGAAGAGGUGAUUCUCUCGAGACCCCAACUGUCCAAUAACAAAUCUGAGAUCUUUGGGCACCAUGUGUGUCCUGCUUUCCGCCUAUCUUACCGGCUCUCUUUGAAGUCAUCCGUAUCACCUCCGCUCUCCUUGGGUUCAUACCCCAUCACCAAGUGGCUUACAUGGUUGAUGUUGGAAUGGAGCUCUGUUUUGACGCCAGAACUGAGUGAGAUUUUGACGGACAAAGCUUUAACUCUGGCAUCCCCUUCCCCUCCCUCUGCAUCCCUGGUCGUCUUAGAUUGUUGUUCAGCUCUUAACCUCCCUGAUCUGCCGCUUCACCCGAGGAAAUCUAUUUUCCACAAACCAGACCAGACCAAAUCCCUCUCUGUCUUCUCGAUUCAGAGAAUAAAAAUGAAUCUUGAAGUGAAUAAGACAAUUGAUUACAGCUUCUGAAGCAAUCACAACUAUGGUAACAAUCUUUUGAGAUCUUUAAGAAGAAUGGAGUGAUGGACUCGCAACAGAGAAGAGUGUUAACAUCAACAUAAGGAUGGUUCAUAAGAUUAAGAUAAUGGUUGGAAACCAUACAAGUGACACCAAAGACCAACGACGAGACCGCUUCGGAAGCACACAAAUUUACUGCCACCGAGGUCUAAGAUGCAGCUGGUUCCUAGAGGCUGAUGCCAAUCAAAAAGAAAGAACGAUUUCUCCUUUACUAUCUUUGUUUGUUUUUUUUUCGUUUGUGACAUAUCAAACAUAAUACUAUAAAAAUAUGAAAGUAAAUGUUUGUUUAGCCAAACUUAGAAUUCUUCACUUCUACUCCAAUUAGUACGCGUGGGUUUGAAUCGCUUACA
Molecule: long non-coding RNA, 1052 nt
Organism: Camelina sativa (false flax)
Lineage: Eukaryota; Viridiplantae; Streptophyta; Magnoliopsida; Brassicales; Brassicaceae
Source: RefSeq, a predicted model, not a curated record